This 465-nucleotide ribosomal RNA is filed under the name uncultured bacterium. RNAcentral describes it as "partial 16S ribosomal RNA". It matches the Rfam family "Bacterial small subunit ribosomal RNA", at positions 28 to 507 of the family's 1533-position model. The record is from RNAcentral.
GACGAACGCUGGCGGCGUGCUUAACACAUGCAAGUCGAACGGAAAGGCCCUGCUUGCAGGGUACUCGAGUGGCGAACGGGUGAGUAACACGUGGGUGAUCUGCCCUGCACUUCGGGAUAAGCCUGGGAAACUGGGUCUAAUACCGGAUAGGAGCCAUUUUUAGUGUGAUGGUUGGAAAGUUUUUUCGGUGUAGGAUGAGCUCGCGGCCUAUCAGCUUGUUGGUGCGGUAAUGGCCUACCAAGGCGGCGACGGGUAGCCGGCCUGAGAGGGUGGACGGCCACAUUGGGACUGAGGGACGGCCCAGACUGCUACGGGAGGCAGCAGGGGGGAAUAUUGCACAAGGGGCGCAAGCCUGAUGAAGCGACGCCGCGUGGGGGAGGACGGCCUUCGGGUUGAAAACUCCUUUCGCUAGGGACGAAGCUUUUUGUGACGGUACCUAGAUAAGAAGCACCGGCUAACUACGUG